RNAcentral lists this ribosomal RNA (467 nucleotides) under uncultured bacterium. RNAcentral's name for it is "partial 16S ribosomal RNA". It matches the Rfam family "Bacterial small subunit ribosomal RNA", at positions 28 to 523 of the family's 1533-position model. The record is from RNAcentral.
GACGAACGCUGGCGGCGUGCUUAACACAAGCAAGUCGAGCGGGAAACUUCGGUUUCCAGCGGCGGACGGGUGAGUAACACGUGGGCAACCUGCCUCACAAUGAGGGAUAGCCCUCCGAAAGGAGGAUUAAUACCUCAUAACACAAGAGAAACGCAUGUUUCUCUUGCCAAAGAAUUUCGUUGUGAGAUGGGCCCGCGGCGCAUUAGCUUGUUGGUGAGGUAACGGCUCACCAAGGCUUCGAUGCGUAGCCGACCUGAGAGGGUGAUCGGCCACAUUGGAACUGAGACACGGUCCAGACCCCUACGGGAGGCAGCAGUGGGGAAUAUUGCACAAUGGAGGAAACUCUGAUGCAGCAACGCCGCGUGAGUGAUGAAGGUCUUCGGAUUGUAAAGCUCUGUCUUCUGGGACGAUAAUGACGGUACCAGAGGAGGAAGCCACGGCUAACUACGUGCCAGCCGCCGCGGUAA